Molecule: small nucleolar RNA, 133 nt
Filed under: Erinaceus europaeus (western European hedgehog)
Lineage: Eukaryota; Metazoa; Chordata; Mammalia; Eulipotyphla; Erinaceidae
Description: Small nucleolar RNA SNORA42/SNORA80 family (ENSEEUG00000016689.1)
Source: RNAcentral
GUGGUUUAAAAACAAAAGAAAGCCUUUUGUGUAGGCCUCUCAUAGUGUGCCGAUUCCAGAGUGAACUGAGACCUCAAACCAUUGCCCAGCCCCCUCCCAGUGAGCUGUGAGCACUGAGUGAGGUCAUACAGUC